UACGUAGGGUGCGAGCGUUGUUCGGAUUUACUGGGCUUAAAGGGCGCGUAGGUGGCCUUGUAAGUCAAAGGUGGAAUUCCACAGCUCAACUGUGGAACUGCGCUGGAAACUACAUGGCUUGAGGACGGUAGAGGGAGACGGAACUGCUGGUGUAGGGGUGAAAUCCGUAGAUAUCAGCAGGAACGCCGGUGGGGAAGCCGGUCUCCUGGGCCGUUCCUGACGCUGAGGCCCGAAAGCUAGGGGAGCAAACCGG
Molecule: ribosomal RNA, 253 nt
Filed under: uncultured microorganism
Description: partial 16S ribosomal RNA
Rfam family: Bacterial small subunit ribosomal RNA
Source: RNAcentral